UUAUGGGUGGGCAUUUUACAGCGCUUUUUUGAGAAAGCGCUGUAAUAUGCACACCCAUAUAUGAAAUUAUGGGUGGGCAUUUUACAGCGCUUUUCUCAAAGAAGCGUUGUAAUAUGCCCACCCAUAUAUGA
Non-coding RNA from Cicer arietinum (chickpea), 131 nucleotides. The record is from Rfam. Lineage: Eukaryota; Viridiplantae; Streptophyta; Magnoliopsida; Fabales; Fabaceae.